RNAcentral lists this ribosomal RNA (502 nucleotides) under uncultured Streptococcus sp. RNAcentral's name for it is "bacterial SSU rRNA". It matches the Rfam family "Bacterial small subunit ribosomal RNA", at positions 28 to 504 of the family's 1533-position model. Lineage: Bacteria; Bacillati; Bacillota; Bacilli; Lactobacillales; Streptococcaceae. The record is from RNAcentral.
GACGAACGCUGGCGGCGUGCCUAAUACAUGCAAGUAGAACGCACAGGAUGCACCGUAGUUUACUACACCGUAUUCUGUGAGUUGCGAACGGGUGAGUAACGCGUAGGUAACCUGCCUGGUAGCGGGGGAUAACUAUUGGAAACGAUAGCUAAUACCGCAUAAGAACAUUUACUGCAUGGUAGAUGUUUAAAAGGUGCAAAAGCAUCACUACCAGAUGGACCUGCGUUGUAUUAGCUAGUUGGUGAGGUAACGGCUCACCAAGGCAACGAUACAUAGCCGACCUGAGAGGGUGAUCGGCCACACUGGGACUGAGACACGGCCCAGACUCCUACGGGAGGCAGCAGUAGGGAAUCUUCGGCAAUGGGGGGAACCCUGACCGAGCAACGCCGCGUGAGUGAAGAAGGUUUUCGGAUCGUAAAGCUCUGUUGUUAAGGAAGAACGUGUGUGAGAGUGGAAAGUUCACACAGUGACGGUACUUAACCAGAAAGGGACGGCUAACUAC